GAUGAACGCUAGCUACAGGCUUAACACAUGCAAGUCGAGGGGAAACGAUAUUGAAAGCUUGCUUUCGAUAGGCGUCGACCGGCGCACGGGUGAGUAACGCGUAUCCAACCUGCCCAUAACUAAGGGAUAAUCCGUAGAAAUGCGGUCUAAUACCUUAUGUGUUCCGAGGAAGACAUCUGAUUUGGAUUAAAGAUUUAUCGGUUAUGGAUGGGGAUGCGUCUGAUUAGAUUGUUGGCGGGGCAACGGCCCACCAAGUCUGCGAUCAGUAGGGGUUCUGAGAGGAAGGUCCCCCACAUUGGAACUGAGACACGGUCCAA
Molecule: ribosomal RNA, 317 nt
Filed under: uncultured bacterium
Lineage: Bacteria
Description: bacterial SSU rRNA
Rfam family: Bacterial small subunit ribosomal RNA
Source: RNAcentral